This 866-nucleotide ribosomal RNA is filed under the name uncultured bacterium. RNAcentral describes it as "bacterial SSU rRNA". It matches the Rfam family "Bacterial small subunit ribosomal RNA", at positions 8 to 898 of the family's 1533-position model. The record is from RNAcentral.
AGAGUUUGAUCCUGGCUCAGGAUGAACGCUGGCGGCGUGCUUAACACAUGCAAGUCGAACGGAGUAAGUUUUCGGACUUACUUAGUGGCGGACGGGUGAGUAACGCGUGGGUAACCUACCUCAUACAGGGGGAUAACAGUUGGAAACGACUGCUAAAACCGCAUAACAAGUUGGGACCGCAUGAUCCUAACUUCAAAUAUUUAUAGGUAUGAGAUGGGCCCGCGUCUGAUUAGCUAGUUGGUGGGGUAAUGGCCUACCAAGGCAACGAUCAGUAGCCGGCUUGAGAGAGUGACCGGCCACAUUGGGACUGAGACACGGCCCAAACUCCUACGGGAGGCAGCAGUGGGGAAUAUUGGACAAUGGGGGCAACCCUGAUCCAGCGACGCCGCGUGAGUGAAGAAGUAUUUCGGUAUGUAAAGCUCUAUCAGCAGGGAAGAUAAUGACAGUACCUGACUAAGAAGCCCCGGCUAACUACGUGCCAGCAGCCGCGGUAAUACGUAGGGGGCAAGCGUUAUCCGGAUUUACUGGGUGUAAAGGGAGCGUAGGUGGCUCGAUAAGUCAGAAGUGAAAGCCCAGAGCUCAACUCUGGGACUGCUUUUGAAACUAUCGAGCUAGAGUGCAGGAGAGGUAAGUGGAAUUCCUAGUGUAGCGGUGAAAUGCGUAGAUAUUAGGAGGAACACCAGUGGCGAAGGCGGCUUAYUGGACUGUAACUGUCACUGAGGCUCGAAAGCGUGGGGAGCAAACAGGAUUAGAUACCCUGGUAGUCCMCGCCGUAAACGAUGAAUACUAGCUGUUGGGGUAUCAACCUCGGUGGCGCAGCUAACGCAAUAAGUAUUCCACCUGGGGAGUACGUUCGCAAGAAUGAA